RNAcentral lists this transfer RNA (72 nucleotides) under Loxodonta africana (African savanna elephant). It matches the Rfam family "tRNA". Rfam says of the family: Transfer RNA (tRNA) molecules are approximately 80 nucleotides in length. Their secondary structure includes four short double-helical elements and three loops (D, anti-codon, and T loops). Further hydrogen bonds mediate the characteristic L-shaped molecular structure. tRNAs have two regions of fundamental functional importance: the anti-codon, which is responsible for specific mRNA codon recognition, and the 3' end, to which the tRNAs corresponding amino acid is attached (by aminoacyl-tRNA synthetases). tRNAs cope with the degeneracy of the genetic code in two manners: having more than one tRNA (with a specific anti-codon) for a particular amino acid; and 'wobble' base-pairing, i.e. permitting non-standard base-pairing at the 3rd anti-codon position. Lineage: Eukaryota; Metazoa; Chordata; Mammalia; Proboscidea; Elephantidae. The record is from Rfam by way of RNAcentral.
CUCUGUGUGGUGCAGAUGGUUAGCACACUUGAUUGCUGACCAAAAGGUUGGAGGUUCGAUUCCACUCAGAGG